Molecule: long non-coding RNA, 230 nt
Organism: Ochotona princeps (American pika)
Lineage: Eukaryota; Metazoa; Chordata; Mammalia; Lagomorpha; Ochotonidae
Exons: 3
Source: RefSeq, a predicted model, not a curated record
AAAGUCAUAAAGAAUAGACAGUGAAGUUCUCUAGUUCUUCAGGAAACACAGCUCCAACAUAGCUUACACAACUCAUGAAGCUCUGAAAUUAACCCAUUCCAUAUUGGACCAACAGAAAAGUGACCACCAGUGUUGACCACCAGAAAAAAACGAUGGUACAUUCCCAAGGACAACGCACAUGAAGCAACACAAUGGACACGCCGAAUGUCAGCUCCCCCUGGCCAGACUUG